This 584-nucleotide ribosomal RNA is filed under the name uncultured Bacteroidota bacterium. Its description in RNAcentral is "uncultured Bacteroidetes bacterium partial 16S ribosomal RNA". The record is from RNAcentral. Lineage: Bacteria; Pseudomonadati; Bacteroidota.
ACGCGUUGGGAGCUCUCCCAUAUGGUCGACCUGCAGGCGGCCGCGAAUUCACUAGUGAUUCGUAUUACCGCGGCUGCUGGCACGAAGUUAGCCGGGGCUUAUUCUGCGGGUACCGUCAUCAUCGUCCCCGCCAAAAGAGCUUUACAACCCGAAGGCCUUCAUCACUCACGCGGCAUUGCUGGAUCAGGGUUGCCCCCAUUGUCCAAAAUUCCCCACUGCUGCCUCCCGUAGGAGUCUGGGCCGUGUCUCAGUGCCCAUGUGACUGGUCGUGCUCUCACACCAGUUACUGAUCGAAGGCUUGGUGGGCCGUUACCCCGCCAACUACCUAAUCAGGCGCACAGCCAUCUUCAAGCAAUAAAUCUUUAAUUAUAAAAUGAUGCCAUUCUAUAAUACUAUGGGGUAUUAAUCCGAAUUUCUUCGGGCUAUUCCCCACUCGAAGGAAGGUUCUGUACGUGUUCCGCACCCGUUUGCCGGUCGCCACCAAAUAUUGCUAUUCGUGCUGCCCCUCGACUUGCAUGUAUUAAGCCUGCCGCUAGCGUUCAUCCUGAGCCAUGAUCAAACUCUAAUCGAAUUCCCGCGGCCGC